Hordeum vulgare subsp. vulgare (domesticated barley) is the source of this 917-nucleotide long non-coding RNA. RefSeq lists it as uncharacterized. The record is from RefSeq and is a predicted model, not a curated record. NCBI's taxonomy places the organism in Eukaryota, Viridiplantae, Streptophyta, Magnoliopsida, Poales, Poaceae. The transcript is spliced from 4 exons.
UAAUCCAGCCCAACCAACGAAACGCAACACAACACAACCCUAUCCAUCCAAUCGCCCCCCUCCAAACCUGUCGCCGCCGCCGCCGACCUCCUCUCCUCCAUUCCCGUCGGCGACCUCGUCUCUUCCAGCCCCACCGACGACCUCCAGCUCCGCCCUGCACCCCGCCACCUUCUCCUUCUCCUCCUAGGAGGGAGGCCCCAGAUCAACAGGCCACGGCAACCACCGGCACCGCGUCCUCUUCCUUCCACCCCCACCUAGCCGCCCUCCUCCUCCCCUGGAUCCGGCGUCGACAGCUCCCUCGUACGCGUGAUGGCAAAGAGAGGGGAUGCGCGCUGGCGUGGCGAGGCGGUCGCCGUACACGAAGAGGCAGAUGAGCUACACCAGCAGCAGAUGUGGAUCCCCCACACACCCACCCCCACCCCCACAAUUUAUUCGAUUCAAUUUUUCUCCUCGCUGAUUGUCCAAAAUCAGGGGCCAAGCGUGAGGGUGCAGCAGAAUUUUUCUACACCUCAUCUUCUUGUUUUUUUAAGUUCAUAGAACCUUUCCCAUGCGGGGGCAUUUUGGGGGGUAUUUUUUCAGGAAAAGCGGAUGAGGAACAGCUGACAAUUGGUUUGGACUUCCAUGGAACAUUGUGGCAGGCAAAUUUGGACACCCAUGUGAGGAGGGGGAUGCCUUUGAUCUGCACGGCAGGAUACAGAAGAUGGGAGGAGGAGACGCAACCCCAUCCAGAGGGGGGCCUGGAGGAGCUCCAGGACUGAACUCCUGCCUCGUACAAGUGUUUGGAGCAGCCAUUAACUUCCAUCAGGGAUUAAGCUUGGCAACAAAAAAGGAAGGAAGAAAGAAAUACCCAUUUUUCACCAUGGAAGGAGGGAGGGACGUCUUGAUCUUAAGUGACUCACUGGAAGCAACUGAGGGAG